GGGGCUGCUCCUAGUACGAGAGGACCGGAGUGGACGAACCUCUGGUGUUCCGGUUGUCACGCCAGUGGCAUUGCCGGGUAGCUAUGUUCGGAAGCGAUAACCGCUGAAAGCAUCUAAGCGGGAAGCGCGCCUCAAGAUGAGAUCUCCCGGGGCACAAGCCCCCUGAAGGAACCAUGUAGACUACGUGGUUGAUAGGUCAGGUGUGUAAGUACAGCAAUGUAUUGAGCUAACUGAUACUAAUGAUCCGUGCGGCUUGACCAU
RNAcentral lists this ribosomal RNA (261 nucleotides) under Pseudomonas aeruginosa. RNAcentral describes it as "partial 23S ribosomal RNA". It matches the Rfam family "Bacterial large subunit ribosomal RNA", at positions 2668 to 2925 of the family's 2925-position model. Lineage: Bacteria; Pseudomonadati; Pseudomonadota; Gammaproteobacteria; Pseudomonadales; Pseudomonadaceae. The record is from RNAcentral.